GGGUCAGUAGGUUGGUCGUGCCACCGGUACGUACUGGUCUCACUGAUUCCUCCUUCCUGAAGAACCGUAAUGCCAUUAAUUUGGUGUUGCGGGGAAACAGGACUGUUACUUUGAAGAAAUUAGAGUGUUUAAAGCAAGCUAACGCUUGAAUACGUUAGCAUGGAAUAAUGAAAUAGGACGAUCGAUCCUAUUUUGUUGGUUUCUAGGAUUGACGUA
This 216-nucleotide ribosomal RNA is filed under the name Glomeromycotina sp. Its description in RNAcentral is "partial small subunit ribosomal RNA". The stretch from base 40 to 216 matches the Rfam family "Eukaryotic small subunit ribosomal RNA", at positions 686 to 864 of the family's 1831-position model. The record is from RNAcentral. Lineage: Eukaryota; Fungi; Glomeromycota.